RNAcentral lists this ribosomal RNA (449 nucleotides) under uncultured bacterium. Its description in RNAcentral is "partial 16S ribosomal RNA". It matches the Rfam family "Bacterial small subunit ribosomal RNA", at positions 29 to 523 of the family's 1533-position model. The record is from RNAcentral.
AGCGAACGCUGGCGGCAGGCCUAAAACAUGCAAGUCGAACGCCCUAGCAAUAGGGAGUGGCAGACGGGUGAGUAACACGUGGGAACGUGCCUUUUGGUUCGGAACAACACAGGGAAACUUGUGCUAAUACCGGAUAAGCCCUUACGGGGAAAGAUUUAUCGCCAAAGGAUCGGCCCGCGUCUGAUUAGCUAGUUGGUGGGGUAACGGCCCACCAAGGCUACGAUCAGUAGCUGGUCUGAGAGGAUGAUCAGCCACACUGGGACUGAGACACGGCCCAGACUCCUACGGGAGGCAGCAGUUAGGAAUCUUGGACAAUGGGCGCAAGCCUGAUCCAGCCAUGCCGCGUGAGUGAUGAAGGCCUUAGGGUUGUAAAGCUCUUUCAGCGGGGAAGAUAAUGACGGUACCCGCAGAAGAAGCCCCGGCUAACUUCGUGCCAGCAGCCGCCGUAA